This 211-nucleotide long non-coding RNA is filed under the name Lathyrus oleraceus (garden pea). RNAcentral's name for it is "Pisum sativum (pea) long non-coding RNA (PSAT_LNC009582)". The record is from RNAcentral. Lineage: Eukaryota; Viridiplantae; Streptophyta; Magnoliopsida; Fabales; Fabaceae.
UUAUAUCACUCUAUUCAAAGGAUUGAAAGAGUCUUGUUUGGAGUUGUGUGGGAUUGAAUAAUAUGUUUGCAAUAUUUCAGAAGUUGGUAGAAAAAGAAAAGAAAAAUAGAAAAGAAAAAAAAUGAACGAAAAAAAAUAGAAGGAUGUAUACAUGUCAAUACAUACUCCUUAUGAAAAAGAAGAAAAAAAGAAGAAAAAAGAGAAAGGAGAA